GAUGAAGAACGUAGCGAAAUGCGAUAAGUAAUGUGAAUUGCAGAAUUCAGUGAAUCAUCGAAUUUUUGAACGCACCUUGCGCCCCUUGGUAUUCCGAGGAGCAUGCCUGUUUGAGUGUCAGUAAAUUCUCAAACCCUUCCAGCUUUUUGUAGUUGGCUCUGGGUCUUGGAUGUGGAGGUGUUGCAGGCCUUUUUGAGGUCAGCUCCCCUGAAAUGCAUUAGCAGAACCGUUUGCAAUCCAUCACAGGUGUGAUAAUUAUCUACGCCAGUGGGUUGCUCUCUGUCACUGUUCAGCUUACAAUUGUCCCAUUCUUGUGGACCAACUAUUGCUGAUUCUUUGACCUCAAAUCAGGUAGGACUACCCGCUGAACUUAAGCAUAUCAAUAAGCGGAGGA
Molecule: unclassified non-coding RNA, 394 nt
Filed under: soil metagenome
Description: partial contains 5.8S ribosomal RNA, internal transcribed spacer 2, and large subunit ribosomal RNA
Rfam family: 5.8S ribosomal RNA (bases 1-120)
Source: RNAcentral